This 253-nucleotide ribosomal RNA is filed under the name uncultured bacterium. Its description in RNAcentral is "partial 16S ribosomal RNA". It matches the Rfam family "Bacterial small subunit ribosomal RNA", at positions 524 to 776 of the family's 1533-position model. The record is from RNAcentral.
UACAGAGGUCGCGAGCGUUAAUCGGAUUUACUGGGCGUAAAGCGUGUGUAGGUGGUUGUGCAAGUCGGUUGUGAAAUCCCUGGGCUCAACCUGGGAACUGCUUCCGAGACUGUGCGACUAGAGAUCGGUAGAGGGCGGUGGAAUUUCCGGUGUAGCGGUGAAAUGCGUAGAUAUCGGAAGGAACGCCCGUGGCGAAAGCGAGGUCCUGGACGUCUACUGACGCUGAGACGCGAAAGCUAGGGGAGCAAACGGG